AUUGAACGCUGGCGGCAGGCCUAACACAUGCAAGUCGAGCGGAUGAAGGGAGCUUGCUCCUGGAUUCAGCGGCGGACGGGUGAGUAAUGCCUAGGAAUCUGCCUGGUAGUGGGGGAUAACGUCCGGAAACGGGCGCUAAUACCGCAUACGUCCUGAGGGAGAAAGUGGGGGAUCUUCGGACCUCACGCUAUCAGAUGAGCCUAGGUCGGAUUAGCUAGCUGGUGGGGUAAAGGCCUACCAAGGCGACGAUCCGUAACUGGUCUGAGAGGAUGAUCAGUCACACUGGAACUGAGACACGGUCCAGACUCCUACGGGAGGCAGCAGUGGGGAAUAUUGGACAAUGGGCGAAAGCCUGAUCCAGCCAUGCCGCGUGUGUGAAGAAGGUCUUCGGAUUGUAAAGCACUUUAAGUUGGGAGGAAGGGCAGUAAGUUAAUACCUUGCUGUUUUGACGUUACCAACAGAAUAAGCACCGGCUAACUUCGU
This 483-nucleotide ribosomal RNA is filed under the name uncultured bacterium. RNAcentral describes it as "partial 16S ribosomal RNA". It matches the Rfam family "Bacterial small subunit ribosomal RNA", at positions 30 to 506 of the family's 1533-position model. The record is from RNAcentral.